UGGUAGUNCACGCCGUAAACGAUGAGUGCUAGGUGUUAGGCCCUUUCCGGGGCUUAGUGCCGGAGCUAACGCAAUAAGCACUCCGCCUGGGGAGUACGACCGCAAGGUUGAAACUCAAAGGAAUUGACGGGGGCCCGCACAAGCGGUGGAGCAUGUGGUUUAAUUCGAAGCAACGCGAAGAACCUUACCAGGUCUUGACAUCCCGAUGCUAUUCUUAGAGAUAGGAAGUUACUUCGGUACAUCGGAGACAGGUGGUGCAUGGUUGUCGUCAGCUCGUGUCGUGAGAUGUUGGGUUAAGUCCCGCAACGAGCGCAACCCUUAUUGUUAGUUGCCAUCAUUAAGUUGGGCACUCUAACGAGACUGCCGGUAAUAAACCGGAGGAAGGUGGGGAUGACGUCAAAUCAUCAUGCCCCUUAUGACCUGGGCUACACACGUGCUACAAUGGUCGGUACAACGAGUUGCGAGCCGGUGACGGCAAGCUAAUCUCUGAAAGCCGAUCUCAGUUCGGAUUGGAGGCUGCAACUCGCCUCCAUGAAGUCGGAAUCGCUAGUAAUCGCGGAUCAGCACGCCGCGGUGAAUACGUUCCCGGGCCUUGUACACACCGCCCGUCACACCACGAGAGUUUGUAACACCCGAAGUCGNUGAGGUA
RNAcentral lists this ribosomal RNA (649 nucleotides) under uncultured bacterium. Its description in RNAcentral is "bacterial SSU rRNA". It matches the Rfam family "Bacterial small subunit ribosomal RNA", at positions 788 to 1437 of the family's 1533-position model. The record is from RNAcentral.